CUCCAGUUUAUAGACGUUUGGACAAGGCAUUAAUAGAAGCUAUAAACUCAGGAUUGUGGUUCUGUACCAUUUCAUAGAAAUUCAAUAAUAAGCAGUGAUAUCUUUGAGACAAAAUCCAUUCUUUUUUGCCUGAUCUCUUUUACAGUUAAAAUAAAUGAUACUUGAUAAGUACUAAUUUGUAAUGUCUGCAUUGUAAUAAUUUUUCAUUGAAAUAGACAAGUCUUGGAAAAUUAAGAUCUGAGCAAGAAUUCUUCUGCUCCCUUAUUAAUCAUGGCCCUCAUUUUGAGAUAACCUUUUCCCCGGAUAAUUAAACAGUUGCAAAUACAGGGACCUGCUGUCUCUUUCCAACUUGACGGUGCGCUUCAGUCGGUUUUAUUUCUUAAUAGUUUUAGCUGUGAGUUUCAGUUGUUUUAUUUCUUAAUAGUUUUAGCUGUGCUCCAUGCCAGGAGUAUAGGAAAAGCUCUAAAAUGUGAAUUCGUGAUAUCCAUUUAGUCUUGUGGUUAUUCCAUUCUUUUAAAUAAUUCUAACCUUUACAUAAUUCUCCAUUAUUUAUUAUCUGUCUUGAAGAUUUCAAAGAUCCUUAUCAGUUAAGUUUGAGCCCAAGCCAGGGAAGAAAGGGAAGAAAUAGUUGAACAUGGGAGACUAAAGAAAGGAGAUGAACAUCUGAUUGUGUGUAUUUAUCUUCAUGUGUCAUUAAAGAUAAACAAAUUCAGUAAUUCAACUAUUAAAAACAAAUACUUAUUGCACUGGUCACUAUUCUAGGCACUGUGACUGGAAAAGUGAACAGAAGAGCCAAAAAUCUGUAACUCCCAUAUGUAACCCUUAUUUUAAUUAGGGGGAGAGAUAAUAAGCAAGAUAAAUAAGUAGAACAGAUGCUGUAUUAGGUGGGGAUAAAUGUUGUGGGGAAGAAUAAAGGAGAAAGAGGAGCUGGGUUGGGAAGAGUGGCUGGGAUCUCACAUAGGGCACCACAGGAACGCCUCACUAAGAGGACCGCAUUCGAGUAAAGACUUGACAUAAUGUUGGUGUGUGUCAUGCAUUUAUCUGAAACAAGAGCGAUACAGGCAGAUGGAGCAACUAACGUGAAGGCCUGGAGGCAGCUUUGUGUCUGGCGUGUUCAGGAAUGGAGAGAAAGGAGGCCAGGGUGGUGGAAGGAGAAUGAUUGAAGGGAAGAAUUGCAUGAGAUGAUACAGAGAUCAGCAGGGGUCCCAACACGAAGACAGUAGUCCACAACUACAGCCACCUGUUUGUGUAAACACUUUGUAAAUCAAGGUUUAUUGGACCAGCCACGCUCAUUGUUUCUUACAUAUUGCCUGUGGCUGCUUUUGCAUGAAGUUGAGUAGCUGUAAUGGAGACUGUAAGGCCUGUGCUUUUACAAAAAAUAAAACAAGCAAAUUGCCAAACUGAUGAACUGUGCCAUCCGGUUGAACUUUCUGUGGUGAUGGAAAUAUGCUCUGUCUCUGCUGUUGAGGAUAGUAGCCACUAGCCUCAUGUGGCUGUUGAGCACCUGCAGUGUGACUGGUAUGACUGAGGAGCUGAAUUUUUCAUUUGUACUUAAUUUUAAGUCCUUUAAAUUUACAAUAGCUACACGUGAUUAGUGACUACCAUAUGGGAUAGCACGGUAGGCCAUUGUAUAGUAUAAACUUUGGAGUUUAUUCUCUGUGAGAAGAUAAAUAAUUGGAGGAGUUUGAGCAGAGCAGUGAUAUGAUCUGACUUAUAUUUUAAUUUGCUGUGGUAGCUGUGUUAUGAAUAAAUUUAAGGGAAGAAGGGCAGAAUCUAGGAGACCUAUUGGGAACCCACUGAAACAGGCCCAGUAAAAAGUGAUGGUGGGUGAGACUAGGUCAGUGGUAGGAAAGGGGUGAAAGGUCUACCUUUUGAAGGUCGACAAAGAGGAUUUACUGUUUGGUUAGAUGGGAGAAAGAAAACAAUCAAAAUAUGACUAAGUGAUUAGAACACUAGAGUUGCCGGUGACUCAGACCGGGGAGACCAGAGCAGUGCAGGUUUGAGGCAGAAGUGUAGGACCUUGGUUCGGGACAUACCAGGUUUGAGAUGCCUGUUUAGAAAUCCCAGCAUAGUUGUUGGGUUGGCGGGUUGUUGAUACGUGAGUCUGGAAUUUAGGGGUGGCCUAGAACAAGGUCAUCAGCAUAUAGAUGCCAAGCCAUGAGAUUAGGUGAGAUCACCCAGAUGUAAAUACAGACAAGAAGACAUUGAAAGACUGCCAAGGAAGGACAUUUAAUAAUAUGGGUUAGGGGUUAGCGCACUGUUUCAGAUGCCCAGAGUUGGGUGCUCAGUUUAAUCUUUCCUUAUCAGUUUGUAUACAUGAUUCCAUAAUUGGAGGGAUAGUGAUUAGGGGUUUCUCAGUUUGUGACCACCCUAUCUUCAUCUAAUUUAAGGAUUAUCCUGUUUGUUUUCUAAGAAAUGGGAUUUUGCUCUUUCCUAAAAUCUUAGUUAAAAAACACACUAUG
Molecule: long non-coding RNA, 2462 nt
Organism: Lutra lutra (Eurasian river otter)
Lineage: Eukaryota; Metazoa; Chordata; Mammalia; Carnivora; Mustelidae
Exons: 2
Source: RefSeq, a predicted model, not a curated record